UGCCAGCCGCCGCGGUAAUACAUAGGCUCCAAGCGUUGUUCGGAUUUACUGGGCGUAAAGCGAGUGUAGGCGGUUCGCUAAGUCGAUUGUGAAAUCUCCCGGCUCAACUGGGAGGGUGCGGUCGAAACUAGCGAACUAGAGUGCGAGAGGGGAGAGUGGAAUUCCUGGUGUAGCGGUGAAAUGCGUAGAUAUCAGGAGGAACACCGGUGGUGAAGACGGCUCUCUGGAUCGCUACUGACGCUGAGACUCGAAAGCGUGGGGAGCAAACAGGAUUAGAUA
Molecule: ribosomal RNA, 279 nt
Filed under: uncultured bacterium
Lineage: Bacteria
Description: partial 16S ribosomal RNA
Rfam family: Bacterial small subunit ribosomal RNA
Source: RNAcentral